Molecule: ribosomal RNA, 258 nt
Filed under: uncultured bacterium
Lineage: Bacteria
Description: partial 16S ribosomal RNA
Rfam family: Bacterial small subunit ribosomal RNA
Source: RNAcentral
GAUCCUGGCUCAGGAUGAACGCUAGCUACAGGCUUAACACAUGCAAGUCGAGGGGCAUCAGGGUGUAGCAAUACACCGCUGGCGACCGGCGCACGGGUGAGUAACACGUAUCCAACCUGCCCUUUACUCGGGGAUAGCCUUUCGAAAGAAAGAUUAAUACCCGAUGGUAUAACAUGACCUCCUGGUUUUGUUAUUAAAGAAUUUCGGUAGAGGAUGGGGAUGCGUUCCAUUAGGCAGUUGGCGGGGUAACGGCCCACC